CUCGGCUCUCGCAUCGAUGAAGAACGUAGCGAAAUGCGAUACUUGGUGUGAAUUGCAGAAUCCCGUGAACCAUCGAGUCUUUGAACGCAAGUUGCGCCCCAAGCCUUCGGGCCGAGGGCACGUCUGCCUGGGUGUCACAAAUCGUCGUCCCCAUCCUUUGAGGA
This 164-nucleotide ribosomal RNA is filed under the name Abdra brachycarpa. RNAcentral describes it as "5.8S ribosomal RNA". The stretch from base 1 to 137 matches the Rfam family "5.8S ribosomal RNA", at positions 20 to 154 of the family's 154-position model. From Rfam's summary of the family: 5.8S ribosomal RNA (5.8S rRNA) is a component of the large subunit of the eukaryotic ribosome. It is transcribed by RNA polymerase I as part of the 45S precursor that also contains 18S and 28S rRNA. The record is from RNAcentral. Lineage: Eukaryota; Viridiplantae; Streptophyta; Magnoliopsida; Brassicales; Brassicaceae.